UAAUGUAUGGGGAUCUGCCCGAUAGAGGGGAAUAACUACUGGAAACGGUGGCUAAUACCGCAUAAUAUCUACGGACCAAAGCAGGGGCUCUUCGGACCUUGCACUAUCGGAUGAACCCAUAUGGGAUUAGCUAGUAGGUGGGGUAAAGGCUCACCUAGGCGACGAUCUCUAGCUGGUCUGAGAGGAUGAUCAGCCACACUGGGACUGAGACACGGCCCAG
Molecule: ribosomal RNA, 220 nt
Filed under: uncultured bacterium
Lineage: Bacteria
Description: partial 16S ribosomal RNA
Rfam family: Bacterial small subunit ribosomal RNA
Source: RNAcentral